RNAcentral lists this ribosomal RNA (550 nucleotides) under uncultured bacterium. Its description in RNAcentral is "bacterial SSU rRNA". It matches the Rfam family "Bacterial small subunit ribosomal RNA", at positions 355 to 896 of the family's 1533-position model. The record is from RNAcentral.
UAGGGANUCUUCCGCAAUGGACGCAAGUCUGACGGAGCAACGCCGCGUGAGUGAAGAAGGUUUUCGGAUCGUAAAGCUCUGUUGUAAGAGAAGAACGAGUGUGAGAGUGGAAAGUUCACACUGUGACGGUAUCUUACCAGAAAGGGACGGCUAACUACGUGCCAGCAGCCGCGGUAAUACGUAGGUCCCGAGCGUUGUCCGGAUUUAUUGGGCGUAAAGCGAGCGCAGGCGGUUAGAUAAGUCUGAAGUUAAAGGCUGUGGCUUAACCAUAGUACGCUUUGGAAACUGUUUAACUUGAGUGCAAGAGGGGAGAGUGGAAUUCCAUGUGUAGCGGUGAAAUGCGUAGAUAUAUGGAGGAACACCGGUGGCGAAAGCGGCUCUCUGGCUUGUAACUGACGCUGAGGCUCGAAAGCGUGGGGAGCAAACAGGAUUAGAUACCCUGGUAGUCCACGCCGUAAACGAUGAGUGCUAGGUGUUAGACCCUUUCCGGGGUUUAGUGCCGCAGCUAACGCAUUAAGCACUCCGCCUGGGGAGUACGACCGCAAGGUUG